Molecule: ribosomal RNA, 526 nt
Filed under: Salmonella enterica subsp. enterica serovar Agona str. 241981
Lineage: Bacteria; Pseudomonadati; Pseudomonadota; Gammaproteobacteria; Enterobacterales; Enterobacteriaceae
Description: bacterial SSU rRNA
Rfam family: Bacterial small subunit ribosomal RNA
Source: RNAcentral
AAAUUGAAGAGUUUGAUCAUGGCUCAGAUUGAACGCUGGCGGCAGGCCUAACACAUGCAAGUCGAACGGUAACAGGAAGCAGCUUGCUGCUUUGCUGACGAGUGGCGGACGGGUGAGUAAUGUCUGGGAAACUGCCUGAUGGAGGGGGAUAACUACUGGAAACGGUGGCUAAUACCGCAUAACGUCGCAAGACCAAAGAGGGGGACCUUCGGGCCUCUUGCCAUCAGAUGUGCCCAGAUGGGAUUAGCUUGUUGGUGAGGUAACGGCUCACCAAGGCGACGAUCCCUAGCUGGUCUGAGAGGAUGACCAGCCACACUGGAACUGAGACACGGUCCAGACUCCUACGGGAGGCAGCAGUGGGGAAUAUUGCACAAUGGGCGCAAGCCUGAUGCAGCCAUGCCGCGUGUAUGAAGAAGGCCUUCGGGUUGUAAAGUACUUUCAGCGGGGAGGAAGGUGUUGUGGUUAAUAACCACAGCAAUUGACGUUACCCGCAGAAGAAGCACCGGCUAACUCCGUGCCAGCAGCC